CCUACGGGAGGCAGCAGUAGGGAAUAUUGCUCAAUGGGGGAAACCCUGAAGCAGCAACGCCGCGUGGAGGAUGAAGGUUUUCGGAUUGUAAACUCCUUUUGUUAGAGAAGAUAAUGACGGUAUCUAACGAAUAAGGACCGGCGAACUCCGUGCCAGCAGCCGCGGUAAUACGGAGGGUGCAAGCGUUACUCGGAAUCACUGGGCGUAAAGAGGGCGUAGGCGGGAUAGCAAGUCAGAUGUGGAAUCCUAUGGCUUAACCAUAGAACUGCAUUUGAAACUGUUAUUCUAGAGUAUGGGAGAGGUAGGUGGAAUUCUUGGUGUAGGGGUAAAAUCCGUAGAGAUCAAGAGGAAUACUCAUUGCGAAGGCGACCUGCUAGAACAUAACUGACGCUGAUGCGCGAAAGCGUGGGGAGCAAACAGGAUUAGAUACCCGAGUAGUC
RNAcentral lists this ribosomal RNA (440 nucleotides) under uncultured bacterium. RNAcentral's name for it is "partial 16S ribosomal RNA". It matches the Rfam family "Bacterial small subunit ribosomal RNA", at positions 338 to 795 of the family's 1533-position model. The record is from RNAcentral.